AGAAAGAUUGGUAAGCUCGGUGUUUAUAUGCAGAGAGUUGGAUGGCUCUGGAGAAACAAAGCUUAUAACUUCUCUU
This 76-nucleotide transfer RNA is filed under the name Salmonella phage FSL SP-107. RNAcentral describes it as "tRNA-Gln". The record is from RNAcentral. Lineage: Duplodnaviria; Heunggongvirae; Uroviricota; Caudoviricetes; Andersonviridae.